UGGGGAAUUUUUCGCAAUGGGGGCAACCCUGACGAAGCAACGCCGCGUGGGUGAUGAAGUAUCUCGGUACGUAAAACCCUUUCGACGGGGAAGAAACCGCAAGGUUGACGGUACCCGUAGAAGAAGCCCCGGCUAACUCCGUGCCAGCAGCCGCGGUAAUACGGGGGGGGCAAGCGUUGUUCGGAAUUACUGGGCGUAAAGGGUGCGUAGGCGGUCCGCUAAGUUGGAUGUGAAAACUCUGGGCUUAACCCAGAGCCUGCAUUCAAAACUGACGGGCUAGAGUUCUGGAGGGGGUAGCGGAAUUCCUGGUGUAGCGGUGAAAUGCGUAGAUAUCAGGAGGAACACCGGUGGCGAAGGCGGCUACCUGGACAGAAACUGACGCUGAGGCACGAAAGCUAGGGGAGCAAACAGGAUUAGAUACCCCCGUAGUCC
This 432-nucleotide ribosomal RNA is filed under the name uncultured bacterium. RNAcentral's name for it is "bacterial SSU rRNA". It matches the Rfam family "Bacterial small subunit ribosomal RNA", at positions 355 to 796 of the family's 1533-position model. The record is from RNAcentral.